RNAcentral lists this small RNA (389 nucleotides) under Pongo abelii (Sumatran orangutan). Its description in RNAcentral is "processed transcript". The record is from RNAcentral. Lineage: Eukaryota; Metazoa; Chordata; Mammalia; Primates; Hominidae.
ACAGUGAGAAUGGGGAAAGUCAGCUAAAUGACAAGCAGUUGUUGAAACAAAUACUUGAUCAGAAUGGGGAAGUGAUAUGGGCUAGGAGCAACUAAGAGAGUCAUUUCAAGGUAAAUAGGAUUUGUGGCCGCCCUGUAAGAACACCCACACAAAGCCCCCGUUGUUCUUUUGAUCAGAGCAAAGAGAAGCAUGGAAUGAAGACCACCACAAGGAACAGUGAAGAGACGCUUGCCAACAGAAGAAAAGAAUUUAUCAACAGCCUUCGACUGUACAGGUCAUUCUAUGGAGGUCUAGCUGAUCAGCUUUGUGCUAAUGAAUUAGCUGCUGCAGAUGGACUUCCCUGCUGGAAUGGAGAAGAUAUAGCAAAAAGGUAUUUUAUGUGGUCUGUG